CCUACGGGAGGCUGCAGUGGGGAAUAUUGCGCAAUGGGCGAAAGCCUGACGCAGCGACGCCGCGUGAGGGAUGAAGGUCUUCGGAUCGUAAACCUCUGUCAGCAGGGAAGAACGGUCACUGUGCUAAUCAGCAGUGAAUUGACGUUACCUGCAAAGGAAGCACCGGCUAACUCCGUGCCAGCAGCCGCGGUAAUACGGAGGGUGCGAGCGUUAAUCGGAAUUACUGGGCGUAAAGCGCUCGUAGGCGGUAUGUCAAGUCAAGGGUGAAAGCCCCGGGCUCAACGUGGGAAUUGCCUUUUAAACUGGCUAACUGGAGUGUGUGAGAGGAUAGUGGAAUUCCAUGUGUAGGAGUGAAAUGCGUAGAUAUCUGGAGGAACAUCAGGGGCGAAGGCGACUAUCUGGGACAUAACUGACGCUGAGGAGCGAAAGCGUGGGUAGCAAACAGGAUUAGAUACCCUAGUAGUC
Molecule: ribosomal RNA, 465 nt
Filed under: uncultured bacterium
Lineage: Bacteria
Description: partial 16S ribosomal RNA
Rfam family: Bacterial small subunit ribosomal RNA
Source: RNAcentral